RNAcentral lists this unclassified non-coding RNA (3165 nucleotides) under Hevea brasiliensis (rubber tree). Lineage: Eukaryota; Viridiplantae; Streptophyta; Magnoliopsida; Malpighiales; Euphorbiaceae. The record is from RNAcentral.
AAGAAGAAGAAGAAGAAGAAGAAGGCAACUAAGGACCAAAAAAAUAGAGGAAAGAAUGGAUUCAUCGGCUUCUGUUCCACAAGCCAAUGCCCAGUCAUCUGCUUCAACUGUACCUCAGUCCAUUCCCUUUUCCCUUCAUCCUCCUUCAAGUUCUACAAAGACUUUAUCUUCGUCUCCUAACUUGGGCCCAUCAACUUCACACAUACCCAUCAAUACUCCUUUUCUUGUGCCUCCUGGGUCAGCUGGAACUCCUGGACCCUCUGGAUUGGCGUCAUGUGCUUCAAUGACUCUUCCAUCUGUAGCUGUUGAUUCUGCCUCAUCUUCAGUUCAGAGACCUAUCAUGCUCGCUACUACUAAUGCUUCAAAUCCUGUAGUUCAGCAACAAAAUUACGCUCCUUAUCCAUCUUUACCUGCUAUGGCUGCUUCCCCUCAGGGACUCUGGUUUCAGCCCCCACAGAUUGGUGGCAUGCCCAGGCCACCAUUUAUGCCGUAUCCUACUGUUUUUACUGGAUCCUUUCCGUUGCCAGCACAUGCCAUCUCUCGCCCUUCUUUCCCGUUGCCUGAUUCUCAACCUCCUGGUGUUACGCCUGUUGGAACUGUAGGUGCAAAUCUUCCGUCUUCUUCUGCUUCAGGUCAUCAGUUUAUUGGCACUCCAGAGAUGCAGAAAGAAUUACCUCCUCCUGGAAUUGAUGAGAAGGAUCAUAUCCAUGACAUUGGCUCCAAAGACAAUACUGCUAACAACGAACCAUUAGAUUCUUGGACUGCCCACAGGACUGAAGCAGGACUACUUUACUAUUAUAAUGCUUCAACAGGAGAGUCGACUUAUAAGAAACCUGCCGGCUUUAAGGGGGAGAUGGAGAAGGUUCCCAUGCAGCCAACUCCAUUUUCAAUGGAGAAUUUGGCUGGUACUGACUGGGCCUUGAUCACAACAAAUGAUGGAAAAAAAUAUUACUACAACAGCAAAACUAAGUUGAGCAGCUGGCAGAUCCCAAGUGAAGUGAUGGAACUGAAAAAGAAGCAGGAAGCUGAAGUAUCAAGAGAACAUGAAUUGUCACGCACUAAUGUCUUGACUGAAAAAGGAUCUGCUCCAAUUAGUCUGAGUGCUUCUGCUGUUAGCACAGGUGGCCGUGAGGCCAUAGCUCUUAGAGCGUCAAGUGCACCAGGAGCAUCAUCUGCAUUGGAUUUGAUAAAAAAAAAGCUGCAAGAUUCAGGAACUCCUGUAACUUCUUCCCCUUCAACAGUUUCAUUAGGAUUAGCAACAGCAGAAUCAAAUGGCUCUAGAGCUAUUGAAGCUUCAGCUAAGGGUUUGCAAAGUGAGAAUAGCAAAGAUAAGCCAAAGGAUGCUAAUGGUGAUGGUGAUGGUAAUGUAUCGGACUCCUCUUCGGAUUCAGAGGAUGAAGACAAUGGGCCUACAAAGGAGGAGUGCACUAUCCAGUUUAAGGAGAUGCUAAAGGAGCGCGGAAUAGCGCCAUUCUCAAAAUGGGAGAAGGAGCUGCCAAAGAUAGUUUUUGAUCCUCGUUUUAAGGCUAUCCCUAGUCAUUCUGCUAGGAGGUCCUUGUUUGAGCACUAUGUUAAAACACGUGCUGAGGAGGAACGCAAGGAAAAACGAGCAGCUCAGAGGGCUGCAAUAGAGGGAUUCAAGCAGUUGCUGGCAGUAGCAUCUGAGGAUAUUGAUCAAAACACUGAUUAUCAAACUUUCAGAAAGAAGUGGGGCAGUGAUCCGCGGUUUGAGGCUGUGGACCGCAAAGAUCGAGAGCACUUAUUAAAUGAAAGAGUUAUUCUUUUGAAGAAGGCAGCACAAGAAAAGGCUCAAGCUGAACGUGCAGCAGCUGUUGCUAGUUUCAAGUCAAUGCUUCGAGACAAAGGCGAUCUAACUGUCAAUUCCCGUUGGUCCAAGGGUUUGAGGGCACCUAGUGUUAUUUUACAACGCCAAGGAGAUCAUUUGACAGCAUUGGUUUGGUGAAGGAAAGCCUAAGGAAUGAUCCAAGGUACAAAUCAGUAAAGCAUGAAGAUAGGGAAGUUUUAUUCAAUGAGUACAUAUCUGAGCUAAAAGCUGCAGAAGAUGAAGAAGAACGGGAGGCAAAAGUUAGAAGGGAAGAGCAGGAUAAGUUAAAGGAGAGGGAACGGGAGUUGCGCAAGCGGAAGGAAAGAGAAGAACAAGAAAUGGAAAGGGUGCGAGUAAAAGUUAGGAGGAAGGAGGCAGUUGCAUCUUUUCAAGCUUUACUUGUGGAAUCAAUUAAGGAUCCUCAGGCUUCUUGGACAGAGUCAAAGUCCAAAUUGGAGAAGGAUCCUCAAGGACGUGCAACUAACCCUGAUUUAGAUCCGUCUGAUACUGAGAGACUCUUCCGAGAACACUUAAAGAUGUUGUAUGAGCGCUGUGCACAUGAUUUUAAAUCACUGUUAGCUGAAGUCAUAAAUACUGAAGCAGCUGCCCAGAAGACAGAAAAUGGAAAAACAGUUCUUGAUUCAUGGUCAACAGCUAAACGUCUUCUAAAGUCUGAUCCCAGGUAUAACAAGAUGCCUAGAAAAGAGCGGGAAAUCUUGUGGCGACGAUAUGCAGAUGACAUGUUGCGGAAGCAAAAGACAACACUUGAUCAAAAGGAAGACAAACAUGCAGAGUUAAAGAGUAGAAGUACUACUGAUUCAGGAAGAUAUCUGUCAGGAUCAAGGCGAACACAUGAUGGAAGAUAGAUCGUCAUUUUUGGUUAGAAAGUAGGCUCUUCUACUCAUGUAUCGAGGGGUUAGUUUCUGAUUCACUGUAUCAAGUAAGCUGAAUAGCUGAUUAUUAUUAUCAUUACUAUUUUUAUCUGCUUCUUUUUUCAUUGAAAUUUGUUAUAUCUGGACCAUAAGCAAUUAGGAAAAGAAAUAUGAAUUCUUUUACAUAAGCCUUCAGUCUUUUAUUAUUACUCAUCUACCUGCAGUGAGUUUUGACCCACGAUGAACUAUCUCUUCUGCUGGAGAUUUUGGUGCUUAUUAAAGUGAUUCUAGAUUGUUUUGUGUUUAAUAAUAUAUUCGAUGUAUGUGUGAAAUUUUAAAUCGAGCUUUAGAAAACACUUACGACUUUAGCUUAAAUGGAUUUGGGCUUCUAAUUUAUUUAUAUAUUUUUUUCUAGAUGGGAUAAUUACUGGUUUAUUAAAAUUUUAUUUUUUGUUAACAACGUUGUAG